This 301-nucleotide ribosomal RNA is filed under the name uncultured bacterium. RNAcentral describes it as "partial 16S ribosomal RNA". It matches the Rfam family "Bacterial small subunit ribosomal RNA", at positions 509 to 807 of the family's 1533-position model. The record is from RNAcentral.
CAGCAGCCACUGUAAUACAGAGGGUGCGAGCGUUAAUCGGAUUUACUGGGCGUAAAGCGUGCGUAGGCGGCUUCUUAAGUCGGAUGUGAAAUCCCUGAGCUUAACUUAGGAAUUGCAUUCGAUACUGGGAAGCUAGAGUAUGGGAGAGGAUGGUAGAAUUCCAGGUGUAGCGGUGAAAUGCGUAGAGAUCUGGAGGAAUACCGAUGGCGAAGGCAGCCAUCUGGCCUAAUACUGACGCUGAGGUACGAAAGCAUGGGGAGCAAACAGGAUUAGAGACCCCUGUAGUCCCUGUCUCUUAUAC